CGUGUAUAUGCGACCAGAAGGGGGGCAAGGAAGAACAAACCCUAAUCAACACAAAUUGAUCAAAUUGAAAGGGGAUUUGGAGUUUAGGUGAAUGUAUGACUUAAGAAUGAUGAUCACCUAAGUGUUUCUUGUAUCAAGCACAAAGAAGGAAGAAGGCGCGAGUCACUCAAAGGCACAAUCAUCACAAGAUCGCGGUAAAUCUCUUGCUUGAAUGCGGCGCGCCCGAACCGGACACACACACGAAAUGUCGACUCUAAGCGCUUCCGGUCUAAGUUGUUUGUUUGAUGGGUUAUCUUACCAUUUUGAUUAGUAAAUGUCAUUUUGUAUGUGUCUAGUUUGUUAGUAGAAAGUUUGGAUACUAAA
Helianthus annuus (common sunflower) is the source of this 363-nucleotide long non-coding RNA. RefSeq lists it as uncharacterized. The transcript is spliced from 3 exons. Lineage: Eukaryota; Viridiplantae; Streptophyta; Magnoliopsida; Asterales; Asteraceae. The record is from RefSeq and is a predicted model, not a curated record.